AAAGAUUAAGCCAUGCAUGUCUAAGUAUAAACGAUCUAAUCGUGAAACCGCGAAUGGCUCAUUAUAACAGCUAAAAUCUACUUGAUCUUGACACAAUCCUACUUGGAUAACUGUGGUAAUUCUAGAGCUAAUACAUGCAUUAAAGCUCUGACCUCACGGGAAGAGUGCACUUAUUAGAACAAAACCAAGCGGCUUCGGCUGUUUCUGGUUGACUCAUAGUAACUGAGCUGAUCGCACGGUCUUGCACCGGCGACGUGUCUUUCGAGUAUCUGCCGUAUCAACUUUCGAUGGUAGUGUAUCUGUCUACCAUGGUGAUCACACGUAACGGAGAAUAAGGGUUCGGCUCCGGAGAGUUCGCCUGAGAAAUCGCGAACACAUCUAAGGAAGGCAGCAGGCGCGAAAAUUACCCACUCUCAGCACGAGGAGGUAGUGACGAAAAAUAACGAGACCGUUCUCUUAUGAGGCCGGUCAUCGGAAUGGGUUCAAUUUAAACCCUUUAACGAGUAUCUAUGAGAGGGCAAGUCUGGUGCCAGCAGCCGCGGUAAUUCCAGCUCUCAAAGUGCAUAGAAUUAUUGCCGCGGUUAAAAAGCUCGUAGUUGGAUCUGUGCCAUAGGACGUGGUCCACCUUCUGGGUGCGUACUAUGUUCCUAGGCUUUUUGCUGGUUUUCCCGUCGUAGCCUUAACUGGUUGCGGCGGGUGGCUGGCGAGUUUACUUUGAGAAAAUCAGAGAGCUCAACACAGGCGUAUCGCUUGAAUGAUUGUGCAUGGAAUAAUAGAAAAGGAUUUCGGUCCUCUUUUAUUGGUUUUGUGGACUGAGAUAAUGGUUAACAGGGACCAACGGGGGCAUUCGUAUCGCUGCGUGAGAGGUGAAAUUCUUGGACCGUAGCGAGACGCCCUACUGCGAAAGCAUUUGCCAAGAAUG
Molecule: ribosomal RNA, 922 nt
Filed under: Chiloplacus propinquus
Lineage: Eukaryota; Metazoa; Nematoda; Chromadorea; Rhabditida; Cephalobidae
Description: SSU rRNA
Rfam family: Eukaryotic small subunit ribosomal RNA
Source: RNAcentral